UCUGGGCGGGGUCUCAGCGGGGAAGCUUUUCAGCUUCUGCAUUUCUUAGACGCCUCAGGUGAAUUCGAUAUGCUAGUCCCAUUUAGAACCCCUCGGCCGCUUUCUCUCCGCCCUUCAGGGAGCGUCACCGCCUCACGUCUGUUACGUCACUCCCCGUCUGCCUUUUAUCCGUCACAAAUCUUCGACUCUUUCCUGUUAACGUAGUAGUAUCGUGACUCCGCCUCUCUAAGUUACGUCAUCACCUCCGCCCUCAUUCUUUCCGUUAUGUCACCAUCUUUUCUCUCCUGUGCUUACCUUUCCCUUGGCCCUCGCUACCCCCUCCUCUUCCCUUCCUCUUCCCUUCCUCUCCCCCAUCCCUCACCCUUUCCUCCCUUUUUUCUCCCCCCUCCCCCCAUGACUUCUAAUUCUCCUUUCCUUCUUGAACUUUCAACCGGGUUGACCUCACCCUUCGAAAAACGCACUAACGAUUUCCCUCCCCCUCCUGGGUGUCCGUUGCCCUGCGGGAAAAGAUUGAGCCCCCUCCUCACCCUUGAGCUGCCUCAGGCGUCCAAAACAGGUUACAGCGACCACCAUAACCAAACUGUGGGUCCUUCCCCAAAUGCAGGCAAAAGGUGCAAAAACCCCCCUCCCCCCAAAGACCCUUGCUUCACCGGCAUGUCCCCCAGCUUACCUCCUCGGAUCUCUUCCCCGCCCCCACCACCUCCCUCCCCACCCCCACAGGAGAGAUGUUCUUUUGAACCCUGUUCUUCCCCACACGUUGGAAGGCCGUACUGCCAUGGGCCCAGACACUCUAGUUCAUCUCCUACAAACCCAUGUUUUGACCGGUUCGGCUUUCCGGAGUCACCCUCUGUCCGUCAGCGGAGCACGGUUUGCAGCUGGAUCAAUUCCCCAAGAAAGCAGCAUCCUUGUCCUCCAAGUCCUUACUUUGAGCAGCAACCUUACCACUGUUGCUGCGGUCAGGUGACCUCUCCUGUCACUCAUCAGGCCCCAGGAACCAGCCCGAUGACCUCUCCUCAACUCACUCAUGUUUGCUUAGAAACUGGCCCCUUGAUUUCACCUCCCUUUAUUCAGGGUUCCCAGGGAACUUGUCCCAUAAUUUCACCUCCUCUUACUCAUAGGCCCCCAGGAACUAGCCUCAUAAUUUCAUCUCCCCUUGUUCACCGGCCCAUGGAAACUAGACCUAUAUUUUCUCCAAUCAUUUCUCAUAAGGUUUUGGAAAUUGGGACCAUGACUUCCCCUCUCCUUUCUCACUGGUCCUCAGGGAGAAGUUAUAAUGACCCUCCUCUUUCCCCAGCAUCUUCCCCAGCUACUGGCAGCCUUUAUCAGUGCCACCUUAAGCUUCCAGAUUCUUGUGAACCCAAACCACAGCUUGACCAGUCCAUUGGGAAAAAUUGUGGCUGCCAACUUUCUUCUCAGGCAGGCAUGUCUGGCUCUCCUAACUCACCUGAGGAGGGCUCUUUUCAUCUUCCCCCAGAGGCCCACAUAUCUGCCCCUGGGACCGCUUACUGUGCCAUACACCUAUCUCCUGAGAGUAAGGGUUCUCCUUGUUCACCUCAGUCUCAGGUUUCCGGGAAGCCUUGCUUUGAUCCCCUUCUCUCCUGGGAGACUGACCAGAGCUCUUACCUCUUUGUAACCCCAGGCACUGUGAUUUCUGGUCCUCCCUGUCCUCCAGAAUCGUCUCUUCCCCAGUGUCCCUGUUCUGGCCUGUGCUAUUCUUCACACUUGGGCAACCAGUUUAUAGCUCCACCCCAGUCAGCCCCCCGCAGAAGCUAUAAUGAACCUCCUCUCCCUACCCCAGUUUCCCCACAAAUGAAGUCCCCCAAAUUCUCAGAUUUAAGACAGCAGCAUAUUCUCCACAAAUGUCACUCCCUAGUUAACACUCCCCAGCACGCUUCUGGCCAUCCCAAGCCCUCUGAGGCUGGCACCUCUCCUCUGCCUCCCUCCUGCUUCUCUGGUCCUCGUGUGGAGCCAUCUGUCACAACUCCUUUGAAUUCUUGCCCAAAAGAACUUCCCCCAGGAACUGCCUUACCUGCUAUGUGCCCUGGAAUCGUCAAAACUACUGCCCCUACUUCCCUUCCCCUUAGCCUUCCUUGUGAACCUGUCAUACCCAAUAGUUAUCCUAAGAGCAAUCCCCAUCGACCUCCCUUAGUUCCCCCCUGCAAUACCCACCUAUACUCUGUGGUUCCCACCACUUCCCAUCCCUGCCAACUUCCUGGUUCCCUCAAUCGCUCUACAGUUCCUCCCUGUGGCACCUAUGGCACUCCCAGGGGUCCACCUGUACUCCACUGCAAGCCUGUGGCACCUCCUUGUUCUACCCAUAUCUAUUCUUUUAUUCCUCUGAGAACACCCUUUGACCCCCAGUCUUUACCCAUUAUCCCCCGAGCUCGGCCCUAUCCUGAUACUAUCCCCUGUGGCCUUCAUAACUAUUCUGUGGCCUCUCAAGGCCCCUCCAGAGUGCCACUCCAGAUCCCCUACAGCUGUCCUUUGCCUUCACCCAAGAACUCUAUCUGUAGCAAUGAUCCCAGCUGUAGUUCAUCCAUUGUUACCAGUGAAAGUCAUGUUAAUGAGAGCAACAACAGGACUGUCUCCAAAAAAAAAAGUAAUAUCAAGAGUCCAAAGCAUAGUGAAAGUGGGAGCCAGAGCUCGAGUCCGUACCAUAGCAGAAGUCGGAGCCAGAGUCCGCAAGAUAACAGAAAUCAGAGCCGGGGUCAAAGUAAAGUAGAGGACGAGACUGAGAGUCCCCAAGUUGACAGCAAUCAGGACCAGAGCAAGAGUUCUGACCAUGGUCGAAGUCGGAAAAAAAGCAAGAGUCCCCGUAAUGGUAAAAGUCAGGGCAGGAGCAAGAGUCCCCAAAACAAGAAGAAAGGUCAGGGUCGGAACAAGAGUCCCCGUCAGAAGAAAGGUCGAAGCAAGAGUCCCCGCGCUAACAAAACGUAAGGGCCAAGUCAGAAGACUGGUAACAAGACUGACUACCAGCCAUAACAAGUAUUCCAUCUGCAGCAACCAGGACCAAUUUGUGGACUCCUCAUCUGAAGUCUUCAUUUGCCUUUUAAUCUUCCUUUAUUUUCUUCAAAUCUGACUUAUGUCCCUCACUGCUGUCCCCAUAGCAGUCAUCCUAGAAGUCUCUGUCUUGAUUCAUAUCUCAAGGUUCUGUGAACUCUCCUUAUCCCACCCUUCUUAGAGUCUGGGAACUUUCCCCAAAUUACCCUCAACACUAUGGUUCAGAGCAUUAUGGUUCCAGACACUGCAUAAUCUUUGGCAGAGGCAGAAUGCGGAGGUGGGAGUGGAUACUAACUGGAUCAAAGUUUGCCCUUGAGCUCUGAGAUACUGGUGGGGUCAGACAGUAGGGAAUAGAGGCAAGACUGGGAAGACUGCCC
This is a non-coding RNA of Ictidomys tridecemlineatus (thirteen-lined ground squirrel), 3377 nucleotides long. Lineage: Eukaryota; Metazoa; Chordata; Mammalia; Rodentia; Sciuridae. The record is from RefSeq and is a predicted model, not a curated record.